CUCAGAGAAGGUGGCUGACCCCAACCAUCCCAGGGUAAUACACACAGAUGGUGUCUCCUGCUCUGCCGCCUCCUUGUAAUCACCAAAUAGAGGCUGGUGAUUGGUGUUGGAAAAAGAAGCUGCAGGCUUUCUAACCAUCAGGCUUGCCUGGGGAUUGUUGCACAGAAGAAUAAGGGACUCGUUAAGUGAUAGAAAAGCAUUAAACAAAUAAUGGCUUCCAGAAAAAGCAGUACUCUCCUAGAAAAGCAAUUUCAGAUUCAACCCACUCUAAGAGAAAAAUCAAAUUGAUUAAAUCACUUUUCAAGAAAGAAAACAAAAAAAAGCUUGAAGCUGCUCAUGGUGGCCCAUGCCUGUAAUCCUAACACUCUGGGAGAUGGAGUCAAGAAGAUGAAAUAUUCAUGCAUUCAGAUGUUUGCUUGGGACCAGUGCUCUCCAGUAGAACUUCCUGCCAUGAUGAAAAAGUAUCUGUGCUGUCCAUGAUGAUAGCCACAAAAUACAUGGAGUAAUGGACCACUUCCACUGUGGCCAGUGCAACUGAGGGACUCAACUUCUAAUUUUAAUUAAUUUAAAAUUAAAUUGCCAUAUAUUUAAUGGUUCAAAUGUAUAUUAUAUUAAAUGUCAUAUACUUGAAAUUCAUUUUUCCUG
RNAcentral lists this long non-coding RNA (645 nucleotides) under Heterocephalus glaber (naked mole-rat). RNAcentral's name for it is "lncRNA (ENSHGLG00000025412.2)". Lineage: Eukaryota; Metazoa; Chordata; Mammalia; Rodentia; Bathyergidae. The record is from RNAcentral.